UGACUAGAGUCUGAUAGGGGAAGUUAGAAUUCCUGGUGUAAGGGUGGAAUCUGUUGAUAUCAGGAAGAAUACCAGAGGCGAAGGCGAACUUCUAGGUCAAGACUGACGCUGAGUCACGAAAGCGUAGGGAGCAAACAGGAUUAGAUACCCUGGUAGUCUACGCUGUAAACGAUGCACACUUGGUGUUAAUCGAAAGGUUAGUACCGAAGCUAACGUGUUAAGUGUGCCGCCUGGGGAGUAUGUUCGCAAGAAUGAAACUCAAAGGAAUUGACGGGGGCCCGCACAAGCGGUGGAGCAUGUGGUUUAAUUCGAUGAUACGCGAGGAACCUUACCAGGGCUUGACAUAUACAGGAUAUAGUUAGAGAUGACUAUUCCCCGUUUGGGGUCUGUAUACAGGUGCUGCAUGGUUGUCGUCAGCUCGUGCCGUGAGGUGUUGGGUUAAGUCCCGCAACGAGCGCAACCCUUAUUGUCUGUUACCAGCAUGUAAAGA
This 490-nucleotide ribosomal RNA is filed under the name Borrelia miyamotoi. RNAcentral describes it as "bacterial SSU rRNA". It matches the Rfam family "Bacterial small subunit ribosomal RNA", at positions 638 to 1131 of the family's 1533-position model. The record is from RNAcentral. Lineage: Bacteria; Pseudomonadati; Spirochaetota; Spirochaetia; Spirochaetales; Borreliaceae.